GUCUUGGUAUAUGGUUAGUUAAGAUUUAAUGAAAAGGUUGCAAGUGAUUGGUGAAAGUAAGAUAAGAUCAAAAUGUGGACGCAACUUGGUUACAAUUUUUAGGUAGUGUUCAUCUAACCUUAUGUGGAAUUUAGGGGGAAAAGCAUCGAAAAUUGAUGAAAAUGUAAAAUAAAGGAAGAGUAUGUGUCACAUUUUCAUGAUCCCUUUUCCCAAGGGGUGAGAGUUAAGGCAGUUCUUCCUCCAUCCUAUAUUAAGUGAGACAGUUGAUUCCUCCGUCUCAACACAGUUGACCAUGUUACACAAAUCAA
RNAcentral lists this long non-coding RNA (308 nucleotides) under Medicago truncatula (barrel medic). RNAcentral's name for it is "lncRNA gene650". Lineage: Eukaryota; Viridiplantae; Streptophyta; Magnoliopsida; Fabales; Fabaceae. The record is from RNAcentral.